GUUGGAGUCAGUGGAUGGAGCAGCCUCUGGGAAGGACAGAUCCUUUAGCUCAGACUGGCCUGGAAUUCACUAUGAGUAGCCCAAACAGACUUUGAACUUCAGACAACCAUCCUGCCUUAGCCUUCCCAGUGUUGGAUGAUUUACAAGUGCGAAUCACCAUGCCUAUCUUCUGUAUUCCUCAUAGUUGAUAGAUGCACAUCAGACCCAUCCCCCAGUUUUAGAUAAAGUUUCAUCUCAGUUUUGACACUCAA
Molecule: long non-coding RNA, 251 nt
Organism: Rattus rattus (black rat)
Lineage: Eukaryota; Metazoa; Chordata; Mammalia; Rodentia; Muridae
Exons: 2
Source: RefSeq, a predicted model, not a curated record